GACGAACGCUGGCGGCGUGCUUAACACAUGCAAGUCGAACGGAAAGACCCUGCUUUUGUGGGGUGCUCGAGUGGCGAACGGGUGAGUAACACGUGUGUAACAUGCCCUUGACUUUGGGAUAACUUCAGGAAACUGGGGCUAAUACAGGAUAGGAGCUCCUGCUGCAUGGUGGGGGUUGGAAAGUUUCGGCGGUUUGGGCUGGACUCGCGGGUUAUCAGCUUGUUGGUGGGGUAGGUGCUGACCAAGCCUUUGAAUGGUAGGCGGCCUGAGAGGGUGACCGGCCUCAUGGGUACUGAGGGACGGACCAGUCUGGUACGUUAGGCAGCGGUCGGGAGUAUGGCGCAGUGGGCGCGAGCCUGAUACAGCGACGCCGGGUGCGGAAUGACGUGUUUCGGGGUAUGAACCGCUGUCGCCUGUGACGAAGCGUUAGUGACGGUAAUUAGUAAAGAAGCACCGGCUAACUACGUG
Molecule: ribosomal RNA, 468 nt
Filed under: uncultured bacterium
Lineage: Bacteria
Description: partial 16S ribosomal RNA
Rfam family: Bacterial small subunit ribosomal RNA
Source: RNAcentral